CCAAAAGUGUCGCCCCUCCUUUCUCUCCUCUCUCCUCCACCUCCCUUUGUCAGAACCCUGGCGGGAAUCUCGUUUUUGCCACCUUCCUCUCAUCUGCUCCAUCUGACCUAUCUUCUAAAACCUUAGCACCAAAUGGUGCAAGGUCUGAUUUUGUCACCCUAGCCUCACAAAUUUCCUUUUCCCUUCAUCUCUCUCAUUGUCCUCUCUUGAACCCCCCCAACACCAAUUGGCGUUACUUCAACAUCCUUCGUGUCAUCAUGACUUUGAGAAUCAGAUUCUCUGUCACAAAUCCCUUGAUUCAACUUCAUGUGAUUUGUACAUGAGUUUGAAUUGACUCAUGAGAUUCGAGAGACUUCAAAUCUGAAGGAGUUUUUAUCCGCUGGACAAAGAUUGAAACCAACGGACAAGCCUUCGACCCCGAAGUCCUAGCUUCAACAACUCUUUCCCUUUUCAUGAAUGCCUCCAAAAGGUAAUGAUUUUCACCUUUUCCAUUUGAUCUUUACCAUGACUUCCAUCAUGAUUUCAUCAUCAUUUUUCUUCAAAUUCUGAAAUUUAAGUUUCAAAUCUGAAAAGGUCUUCAAUUUGGGCUAUAAAUAGCCGACUUCAAUACUCUUUUCACAACAUGAGAUACACUACUCAUUAUGUGAAAAAAAACUCUCUGAUAAUUCGAGUUUUUAGUGCUUUACUCAUUUUGUUUUCUCCUCUGUUUGAUUCGAUUGAGCAAGGGCGGAUUUAGGGGGCGGAAGGGUGUUCAUCCGAACAUCCUUCGUCGGAAAAAGUUACACUGUUUAUAUAGGGGUAAUUUUAUUUUUUUACGUAUAGAUAUAAUAUGUUGAACGCCCUUGACACAAGUCAAAAGCUUGGCUUAGUGGUCAAGGGUGUUCAGAUUUUGUAAAAGGUCGCAGUUUCAAUUCCCGUCAACUGAAAUCUAAUUCUUUUUACCUCAUACUUUUUUUUAAAAUUUUAAACUAAACGAAACGACGUCGUUUUCGUUUCGUCUCUUUUAAUAUGUUUUUCCCCAAAAACGUAACUGACUUUGAGUUAAAAUCCCUAAAUCUCUCUCUCACUUCAUUGCCUCAAUGGCUCCCUCCACUCUCUCUCUCUCUCUCUCUCUCUCUCUCUCUCUCUCUCUCUCUCUCUGUGUGUGUGUGUCUCUCUCUCUCUUUCUCCAAUCUCUCUACCUUGCUGCUGUUGCUUGCUAUUCUUCUGUCAUGGCAUUGUCAUCCCAGGUAAAUUCCUUGUUCUUUCUAAUUUUUCAGAAAUUUAUUAGUAUUUUAUUGGUUAUUCUUAAUUUAGAUUAAUGACUCUUGUUUGUUGUUUUUUGAUUCUUGAAUCCGUAGACUUUAAUAAUGUAAAUUAUUGAGUUUUCUACUGCAUUUGCUUUGAUAAAUUUAUGAAAAAUAAUUGCUAAUUUUUUUUAGAAUUGAGAUACUUUUGACUCGAUCUUUGGUGAUAAUUGCUCAUAUUUUAUCCCCUUCCGCUGCAUAAGUUACAAUGAUUAAUAUUGUGUAGGAAGGAAAAAAAUUCCAAUCUCUUACUAUCCAAAUAAAAUAAAAUAUAAUAUAAAUCGCUAGUACGUGUGCGUUUUCAACAUAUCGUUAGCGUGAGUUUCGACGAUAGUUUAGUUCCUAUUUAGAUUUUUUUUAUGCAUCCGUUUGACAUUACAUUUGGAUUCAAUAAAUUUCGAUGAACCCUUUCGAUGAAAUUUUUACUGUUCAAUUCUUUAUAAUAUUGAACACCCUUGUUCGGAAUUCUGGAUCCGCCACUACGAUUGAGUUUGAGUUUGGGAGUUUAAUUUUGGAGACGAAUCUUUGACGACUCGACCCGACGCCCCAGUCUGCUGCCCCGAAAGAGAAUUCCAUUUUGAAACUCAACGACGUCGCUGCUGCAUAGAGACUGCACAUCCUCAUUCUUCGGUUUUCAUAUCGUUUAGACAUAAACAUAGAAGAGAAAAUCUUCUGGGAACUGAGCAGAGACUCUUGAAACGGUCCUUUCUGCUUCACUUAUUUGCUAUAUGACUUACUAUUCUAAUUUUUAUUAUGUGAUUGACUGUUAGGAUCUAAUUCUAUUAUAAAUCACAGUCAAGUCUUUUAAUUAUGUAUUUUGUUUUAUAGUUACAUAUAGUUGAAACUCUUUAGAAUCAUGAAUGUGCAUCAAAUACUAGUUGUUGAGCCUGCUAAAGUAUUACAAAAGAAAUAUUAGUUUUUAAAAUUUAUUUCUUCAUUCUAUCGAUUUUAGAUUAAAAACUCCACCUUGGUGAUUUUUUUAAAAGGCUAUAAAGCUAGUAGUAUUUCUAACACACAGAAGUUGUCAUCUAUGUUUUCCUUUCAGUGUUGCAAACAUUUAAGUCGAGUUUGUUAUCUGUACUUCCUUUAGAAACAUUUUCUGAACUAACUUGCCUAAUGUUUCAACAUGAUCCACUUGUAGGUAGAAAGUAGUAUUUUCAAUGAUACAAGCAUCAAUUUUCUUAUAAGACAAAGAGAAUUCUCUUCAACAUAAUUUUUGGUGUGAACCUGAUUUUCUUUUAAAAAGGUUCUCCAUAUUUAUACUUAGUCCUAAUUAACUUUAAUCCGGUCGGUUAAUAAUUUUCUUUAAAUUAAUUGAGCCUUUAUUUUACUCAAACCCGGAAUAGUUAAAUUAUUAUAUUCUAGUUCAACCCGUUUAAAAUGGGGUACAACAAUGUAUCUUUGGUCACAAGUCUUUGAUCAAUCAAGUAUCAAGAAUUGAUAUAUUCCAUACAUUUAAUGUUUCUUUACAUGUACCUAACACUCGAGCGAUAUUGUUGUUUGAAGUUAAAUCGCAACACACAACCGAGUCAACACAUGAAGAAUGAGCAGAGUCGUCACCCCAAGUGGGGCCAGGUACGUUAAGGGACAUGAUGACAACGACAGGCUAUAGUUGACUUCUUGUAUGAAUAAUACAUACAACUUUAUUAAAUAAAGCAAUUCGUUACUCCCUCACUUUCUAAUUUUUGUAUCACUUUUUUAAAUAUUUCAAAACUUGACAACUUUUACUAUUACCUUAAAGUUUCGUCAUGCUUUUACAAUUCAUACAAUUCAAACAUCAAAACACUUUUAGCUUCACACAACUUUAGAAUGAUCAAACCUUUUAUUUAAUAAUCUCUUACGCAUUUCCCCUCUCACGACCCCAAUUUUCCUCUGUAGGAUGUCGUGAUGACACCUAAUUUCUAAGAUUAGGUAAGCCUAACAAUUUGCGGAAUAACUGAAUAUAAAACUGAACUCAAAUCUCAACACAUGAAAUAUGAAUAGAACCUGCGAUUCAAAUAAUUACAACUCCCAAAACCCGGUAGAAAUAAGUCACAAAUUUAUAAAAGAAAAUAUCAAGUGUCUCUAUACAUCAGAGUCUAAAGAAAAUAAGGAAAAGCAAUAUAGUAAGGAUGGGAGGGCUCCGAGGACUGUGGACGCUGGCAGAUAUACCUUGAAGUCUCCACGUACGGUCCAGCUCACUGGUAUCUGACCUGGUAGGAAGAACCUGGAUCUGCACAACAAGAUAUGCGGAAGUGUAGUAUGAGUACACCACAACGGUACCUAGUAAGUGUCAAGCCUAACCUCAGUAGAGUAGUGACGAGGUCAGAUCAUGGCCCUACUGGAAUAAAAGGUAAUGAGGCAUAGAAUAUAAUAAUACAAUGGAGUGACUGAGAAAUGAACAACGAGAAAUUUCAGAAAGGUAACAACACAGCAAAUAGAGAAAAAAACAGUGACGCUCCUGAGGUAUCGUCUCGUAGUCCCAAAUGUAAAUACACAAUAUGGGGAUCUCUCGAGGUACCGCCUUGUAGUCCUAAAAGUAAAUAUGCAAUGGGGGAUCUCCCAAGGUACCGCCUCGUAGUCCCAAAAGUAAAUAUGCAACAGGGGAUCUCCCGAGGUACCGCCUCGUAGUCCCAAAAGUAAAUACACAACUCAUAACCUAUGGUACAACGAACUUACAUCAAGGAAUCAUACAGUUAAAGACUGAAUACAAGAUCACGGAAGCAAGUAAUUCAACUAAGCAUGUUGCACAAAUUUAAAGUAAAGGUUAAGACACGUAGACAUGCGAUACUAGGCUAAACAUGACAGUUACACAUGCUAAGGCAACUAAGUUAUGGAAAUUAAAAGAAGACUACUCAGCAAGAACUGAAAUUUCCACAAUUAGCCGGUGUACACACUCGUCACCUUGCGUACACGACACUCACAUAUCACAAAUUGUUACAACAGUACCAAAUCCUAAGAGGAUUUUUCCCACACAAGGUUAGAUAAGUCACUUACCUCGAAUCUCGCUCAAUCUAUCGAUAAGGAUACUUUCCCUUUGCUUUUCCACUCCAAAUGGCCCAAAUCUAGCCAAAAUCAAUUACAUACCAUGAAUACAACUAUAAGAAACUAAUUUAAAUAAUAAAUCUACGACUUUAGCAAAGAAUCAAAAAUCGCCUCAAAAGGUCGACCUGGGCCCACGCCGCAGAAUCAGGUAAAAGUCACAAAAUACGAACACCCAUACCAAAAUUACUCAAAUUUGACACAAAAUUCUCGAUCAGAACCCCAAAAUUCGGCCUAAGGAUUUGUUUUCCACCCUUUUCACAGCCCAAAUCCUUAAUUAAUGGAAGAAUAAAUGAUAUCUUAGUGGAAAUUAAUAAAAAAAUAAGUCAAGAAUCCUUACCCAAAUGUUUCCUCUGAAAACCCCUCAAAUUUUUGCCUCAAUCCGAGCCCUAUAUCACAAAUUAUGAAGAAAAGGGCAAACCCUCUAUUUAAUAUAAUCCGCCUAGGCUUUUCGCAUCUGCGGCCAAUUCACCGCACCUGCAGAACCGCUUUUGCGGUAAAAACCUUUGCUUUCUUUUGUGCUUUUAAGCUAUUUUAUGGUAUAUCGAGAUAGUUGGUUCGGGUCCGGAGUGGUUUCUUUAGACACUUAGUCUCUAAAGUAGAAGCUUAAGUUGGAAAAGUCAAUCGGAUAUUGACUUAUGUGUAAACGAUCUUGGAUUUGAAUUUUGACGGUUCUGUUAGCUCCGUUAGAUGAUUUUGGACUUAGGAGUGCGUCUGAAAGUUGGAGUAGGUUUGUGGUGUCAUUUGAGACGUGUAUGUAAAAUUUGAGGUCAUUCGGACGUGGUUUGGUAGGUUUCGGCGUCGUUUGCAGAAUUUGGGAAGUUAGAAGUUCUUAGACUUGAAUCCGAGGGUAAUUUGGUGUUUUGAUGUUAUUUUGAGUGAUUUGAUGAUUUUUCAAAGUUUGUAUGUUGAUAUAUGACUUGUUGGUAUGUUUGGUUGAGGUCUUGAGAGGCUCGGGGUGAGUCCGGGUGGUUAACGGAUUGUUUGAAGUUGGAAAAAUGCAGUUGAAGCUGCUACUACUGGUAUUUCCGCACCUGCGAAGGGGGAGCCGUAGGUGCGAGGUCGUUGGUGCACUUGGUGAGCCGCAGAUGCGGACAUAGAGGACCUGGUCUGGAACCGCAGGUGCGUAAGAUUGGUCGCAUCUGCGAGCCCGUAGAUGCGAGGCUGAGGCGUAGAUGCAGAAGUGAGGAGGACUGGCAGUGGCCGCAAGUGCGAGGUCUUUUGCGCACCUACGAGGUUGCAGAAGCAGAUAUGGAACAUAGGUGCGAGAUAUGUGCGCAAAAAUGGCUCCGAAGGUGCGCAUUAUUUUAGCCACAGGUGCGAAAACCUGGGCAGAACCUAUAGAUAGAAGACUUCGCGAAUUUUUGUUCAUUCCCACCAUUUUCAAGUAGGAACUUGGAGUUUUGGAGUGAUGUUUGAAGGGGAUUCAAGGAUAUUCACUGAGGUAAGUUGCUUGAGCUCUAUUAUCAUUAGCUAUGGUGUUUUUUCGUUAAUGUUCCACCUAAUUAGUAGAAUUUUUGAAGUGAAAUAAGGGGUUAGGGCUUGGGAUUUUUGAGGAUUUGAGGGACCAAAUGAUGUCGGAUUUUGAUAAAUUUAGUAUGGGUAGACUCGUGAGUGAAUAGGCUUUCGGGUUUUAUGACUUUUGUCAGAUUUCGAGAUGUGGGCCCGGGGGGGGUGAGUGAAUUUCGGAAUUUGGCCUAUAAAUUGGUAUUUUCCUUGUGGGAUUUGUUCCUUUAGCUCAUAUUGAUCGUAUUUUAUUGCUUGUGGCUAGAUUCAGGUCAUUUGGAGGACGGUUCAAGAGGAAACGACAUUUCAGAGUAGGAGUUCUACGCGGUUGAAGUAACUAACAGUUUUAAAUCUGGUCUUGAGGGUAUGAAACCCAGAGUUUGGUAUAAUGUGAUUGUUUGGAGGUGGCACUCAUGCUAGGUGACGGGCGUGUGGGUGUACUCCAUGAGGG
Molecule: long non-coding RNA, 6264 nt
Filed under: Nicotiana tabacum (common tobacco)
Lineage: Eukaryota; Viridiplantae; Streptophyta; Magnoliopsida; Solanales; Solanaceae
Description: long non-coding RNA (NTAB_LNC005472)
Source: RNAcentral